This is a non-coding RNA of Misgurnus anguillicaudatus (oriental weatherfish), 461 nucleotides long. NCBI's taxonomy places the organism in Eukaryota, Metazoa, Chordata, Actinopteri, Cypriniformes, Cobitidae. The record is from the annotation of a RefSeq genome assembly.
UUUUAGUUUAGCCUGUGAGAAAUCAUGUUCCUCACAUAUUUUACACUGUUGAUGCUUUCAGCUUUACCCUAUGUUGUGUUUGGAAUCGAGCUCAUCCAGCCAGACUCAGUGGUUGUUAAGCCUGAUGGAUCAUUGACUCUUACCUGUAAAGUAUCUGGGUAUUCUCUUACAGAUGACAGCUACGCAACAGGUUGGAUUCGGCAGCCUAAAGGAAAACCCCUGGAGUGGAUUAAUCACAUCUGGGGUGGUGGUAGCACUUAUCAGAAAGAUUCUCUGAAAAGCAAGUUUAGUAUAUCAAAGGAUUCCUCCAGCAGUACAGUUACACUGAAUGGAAAGAGCCUGCAGGUGGACGACACAGCUGUGUAUUACUGUGUCAGGUGCACAAUGUUACAAACACACAGAACUCAGUACAAAAACAUAUACAUGUUUUAACCAUGUUUGUUAAAAUUUAAAUCCCUGUA